RNAcentral lists this ribosomal RNA (497 nucleotides) under uncultured bacterium. RNAcentral describes it as "partial 16S ribosomal RNA". It matches the Rfam family "Bacterial small subunit ribosomal RNA", at positions 28 to 507 of the family's 1533-position model. The record is from RNAcentral.
GAUGAACGCUGGCGGCGUGCCUAAUACAUGCAAGUCGAGCGAACGGACGAGAAGCUUGCUUCUCUGAUGUUAGCGGCGGACGGGUGAGUAACACGUGGAUAACCUACCUAUAAGACUGGGAUAACUUCGGGAAACCGGAGCUAAUACCGGAUAAUAUUUUGAACCGCAUGGUUCAAAAGUGAAAGACGGUCUUGCUGUCACUUAUAGAUGGAUCCGCGCUGCAUUAGCUAGUUGGUAAGGUAACGGCUUACCAAGGCAACGAUGCAUAGCCGACCUGAGAGGGUGAUCGGCCACACUGGAAGUGAGACACGGUCCAGACUCCUACGGGAGGCAGCAGUAGGGAAUCUUCAGCAAUGGGCGAAAGCCUGACGGAGCAACGCCGCGUGAGUGAUGAAGGUCUUCGGAUCGUAAAACUCUGUUAUUAGGGAAGAACAUAUGUGUAAGUAACUGUGCACAUCUUGACGGUACCUAAUCAGAAAGCCACGGCUAACUACGUG